UCUAAGACUCGAACCCAGCCGCACCACCUCUCUACCUCGAUAGUUCCUGGGUUUCUCUCUCGGCGUUCCUUUCCCGAGCCACAACUUCUGAUCACUUUCCCCUUGUUUGAAACCCAAGAAAAUUAGCUUGUUUUUGACGCCAAUCAAACAAAAUUAGUUUUUUUAAACGCCAAAUUGCCCACUAAUAUACAAACCUUUACCUUAUCUCACAAAAUCUUAUGUCUCAAAUUUCAAAUCUCAAAUCUAAUAUCAUUUUUUACUAUCUUCGAAGCAAUUGUAUUAGGAUGGCUGAUUUCCGUCUCUCAAAUUUCUGUCAAUCUUGGUUAACCUGAAAACGCUAAAGUAAUACUUCAAGUUGGGAAAUAUGACACGGACAUAUAGCAAAGUUGAAUCUGCGGGCAGGCAAGUUCAAUAGAAGAAGAAUCCAAAUCAUUACCUAGAAGUUUCUUUUUUAAUUCUCUUCAAAUUUUGGAUCUACCCUUUGUUCAAUAGAAGAGAUUAAAGCAAUUUUUGGUUAAUUUUGGGGUUAUAGUAGAAGAUAUAUAUACCCCACUUGUUUUGUAUCCUUCUUGUAUUCAUACAGUUCAUUAUUAAAGUGAGAUUUUAUCUCAAGAUCA
Long non-coding RNA from Theobroma cacao (cacao), 617 nucleotides. RefSeq lists it as uncharacterized. Lineage: Eukaryota; Viridiplantae; Streptophyta; Magnoliopsida; Malvales; Malvaceae. The record is from RefSeq and is a predicted model, not a curated record.